Molecule: non-coding RNA, 22 nt
Filed under: Arabidopsis thaliana (thale cress)
Lineage: Eukaryota; Viridiplantae; Streptophyta; Magnoliopsida; Brassicales; Brassicaceae
Source: RNAcentral
UGUCAAUUCUCCUGUCAGUGCU